Molecule: long non-coding RNA, 558 nt
Organism: Varroa destructor (honeybee mite)
Lineage: Eukaryota; Metazoa; Arthropoda; Arachnida; Mesostigmata; Varroidae
Source: RefSeq, a predicted model, not a curated record
CGUGCCGUACCAGUUUGACGAUAGCCUGAAGGCUGUGUCGUGAUAGAUCUUGUAAAUCAACGAGGGCGUCUUGACAAACUCGUAGAAAAAUGCAUUACGUGCGCAAUGCUGUGCGGCCGUCAGUAGCAUUCGCACGUUCAGCAAGCUAUCACGUCGCAAAGAUAAGUCAACCCGACUGCAGUGCACUGCUUAAACCUUCAGGAAGCUUUCAGCAGCUGAAUGCUCAGAAGCAGUCGAAAAACAACGCUUUCAUGGCUGGCGGCUCCCUCUUUGGUAUAGCCAGCGGUGUCGCAGUCUAUUUGAUGGGUUUCAUCGACUUCGUCGAUCCUCCGAAAAUCCCCAAAUAGACAAAACAAUUUCUUUCAUCUUAUUAUGAUGCUCCGCAGACAUUUCUGUCGGUCGAAUAGGGGCUAUAAAAUGUGCCAUCAUGGAAUAUACAGCUUAUUAUUGUUUGGCGCUAUUCAAAUAAGGAUGAGAAGGAGUUCUGAGGAGUGAGGAACUGGUAAAGUAGUCGGUUUUAAAAUAAAUAUGCACAUCCUGUUUCAAUCCAAAGAGUUA